Aspergillus nanangensis is the source of this 142-nucleotide non-coding RNA. Lineage: Eukaryota; Fungi; Ascomycota; Eurotiomycetes; Eurotiales; Aspergillaceae. The record is from the annotation of a GenBank genome assembly.
GCCUCUAUAGCUCAGUCGUAGAGCGCUUGACGUAUGUCAUUUCUUCUAUCUAUCAUGAUAGUUCUUUCAACUAACAGGCUCCAAAGUUGUAUAGCAACUGUAUGAAAUCAAGAGGUCCGUGGUUCAAUCCCGCGUGGAGGCA